AGUGGCGAACGGGUGAGUAACGCGUGGAUGAUCUACCUACGAGAUGGGGAUAACUAUUAGAAAUAGUAGCUAAUACCGAAUAAAGUCAAUUAAUUUGUUAAUUGAUGAAAGGAAGCCUUUAAAGCUUCGCUUGUAGAUGAGUCUGCGUCUUAUUAGCUAGUUGGUAGGGUAAAUGCCUACCAAGGCGAUGAUAAGUAACCGGCCUGAGAGGGUGAACGGUCACACUGGAACUGAGAUACGGUCCAGACUCCUACGGGAGGCAGCAGCUAAGAAUCUUCCGCAAUGGGCGAAAGCCUGACGGAGCGACACUGCGUGAAUGAAGAAGGUCGAAAGAUUGUAAAAUUCUUUUAUAAAUGAGGAAUAAGCUUUGUAGGAAAUGACAAAGUGAUGACGUUAAUUUAUGAAUAAGCCCCGGCUAAUUACGUGCCAGCAGCCGCGGUAAUACGUAAGGGGCGAGCGUUGUUCGGGAUUAUUGGGCGUAAAGGGUGAGCAGGCGGAUAUAUAAGUCUAUGCAUAAAAUACCACAGCUCAACUGUGGAACUAUGUUGGAAACUAUAUGUCUAGAGUCUGAUA
This 573-nucleotide ribosomal RNA is filed under the name Borreliella garinii. RNAcentral's name for it is "bacterial SSU rRNA". It matches the Rfam family "Bacterial small subunit ribosomal RNA", at positions 94 to 653 of the family's 1533-position model. Lineage: Bacteria; Pseudomonadati; Spirochaetota; Spirochaetia; Spirochaetales; Borreliaceae. The record is from RNAcentral.